GAUAAUUAAGAUUUACACACACCUGCACAUCCACCAACAUAUUAACGAAGCUUUUAACAAAAGGAUAUGAACUUUAACUAUUUAAAAAGUAAAAGUAAAAUUUAUUUGAAGACAUGGUUGAUACACUGACAGACUUGUUACCAAUGAGUGUUAAAAACUCUUACAAGGCAUUGUUAAACAUUUUUUUAAUUCGUAAAUUUUAUAUAGUAACCUGAACAAUUUUAAUUAUUUCAUUUCUGGUUACCCAAAAGGAUGGACCUUUAAAAGACCAUGCCAAAUGGUUUCGUAAUAGAUAAAAAAUAAAUUUAACUCCUCAAAGUGUCAUCCAAUCAACCUCCAAAUAGGGAAAAAAAUCAUAACUAUAUCACUCCAUAAGAUCCAUUAGAAACGUUUGAAGCAAUAAGACCAUUCAAAAUCAUGCCUUCUAUUCACAGUCGUUCAAAAUUGCGACAAGUUGAAAAUCACAAUCAAUCUCAGAUGUGGAACAAAACCUUUAAAUCAAAGGAAACUUGAUAUAAAACAAACUCAUCAUUCCAGCCAAUCAAACCUAAAUGUUUGAAGCAUUAAAAUCAUUCAAAAUCACAUCAAAUUGAGGAAUAAGUUUAAAGGGUUCUAAAAUUAUUUUAGUAAUUACCUCAAGAAUUAAUUAGAUGUACUACAAGACCGACAACUAAAAAUUCGAAGUUAUUAAAAAUCAAUCCCUCCAUCAUUAGGUUUUAUAGAUUCAACUUCAUAAAUGCCUUAAAUUUAAAACCAAAGAAAAAUAUCAAUAAAAUUUCAUUACUGGUAGAUAGUACUAUGAAUGAAGCACCAAAUUAUAUCUAUCAACAGCAACCACCUGCAACAUGUUUAUUGAUUAUAAGACUCGGAUUAAAAGGCUAGGUCAUCUUCUCUAAAAGGCAUACACUUUGACAAAAAAAAAAAAAAAAACAUGAAGCACAUGAUUGAAAUCGUUCAGUGACCUGUGCAAAAGAACCUCCACCACCGAUGUUUUCAUCAAUGGAAAACAAUAAGUUAGCAGCUAGUUCUUCUGCUGUAACCACUUCCAACUUCAAAACAACUCCACCAAUACCUCUUCUUUUAUUGGAAAAUAAUACCAAAAAAGAAAAGCCAAAAGAGGGAAAAAUAUCGAGGGAAACUGCUUAAUUUCAACCAUUUUGACAUAAUUGUAAAAAAUUAGUAACUCUUAUUUUCCAUCUCAAUCUCCAAAUUUCAAGCUUCAAAAUUAUGAAAAUUAAAAAACAAAAUGACAAAAGAUCCUUGUUAUGUCUUCCCUAGUUAGACCAAAUUUCAUGGAGCUUCUUUAAAUUUGGUGUGAAAGGGCACUCACCGACUCCUUAAAUUAGAGUUGGAGUAUUGGACCUUCAGAGAUAGAAAGCAAUUCUAUCAGUUGUGUGUCUAUCUACUCAAUGUAGAAGAUUUUUUUAUACCAUAUGUUAGUCAAGUUAAAGGGAUUCAUCAAGUUUAUAUGUUUCUAAAUCUACUUUUAGAUAGGAAAUAUCCAUUCUGCAAAUAACAUACCAGUAGUUAAUUAGUACUUAUCCAAUGUAAUUGGUAAUUCUUCCAAGACCAAUUACCGAAGGCGAGCUACCUGCAUUUCGGAAACUAAAAAACCACAGAUUGGGUCCUGUAAAACAAGUCUUUGACAUCCAAAAGCAACCAUAUGUUCCCCAAAUCCGUAACAUUUUCUAUCAAUAAAAUAACCAAUUGAUAAAUAGCUAAAAAGAAAAUAAGCAUAAAAAGGAGCUGUUAGAAGAAAGAGAACCGAAGGGUAUCAACAUAAAUCUAAAUCCCUUAAUCUCUUUAUGUAUUCAACUCUGUGAGGGCUUGUUACAUCCGACACCAUUGAAGUUGAAUAAAAAAUUCAAGGUGGAAAAGAUUAGGGAGAAGUUGUUAAUGAUAUUUUGCAGCUUUAAAAAAUAAAGAAUUAGGGAAAAGGAAACCAGAGGGAAUGAAACGAAAGUCGGGAAGAGGGGCAUUAAUCUCAACUUCUCUCCAAGUCUUCUUCCUCAGAAAACGUCCAGAGUUGCCAUGAUCAAAUUCUUUUACUCAAAAUAUAACACCCAUCCAAACUGGAAAAAAAAAAUAAGAAUGAAGCACUAAUAUUGAGGUCAAAUACAAAAUUGAAUUACACACCAUCGUUAAGAUAAUUUAACCUAAUAAUCUUAUAUAUAAAAAUAGAACCUCUAAAUGGCAAGGCUUCCUCAAUAACAAACUACAAACAUAAACAAAAAUGUUAACAUGAUUUCUUUCUUCAAUAAAAAGCAUCGACAAAAAAUAACAGAAAGUAGAUGCCUACCUUCACUAUUCACUGAGAGUGAUUUGAGGAGAUUAGGUUUAAGAUCAUGUUUCUCGGGAACAAGAGAGGCAACGGUGUCGUCGGAAAAAAUAAAUAAGAAUAAUAUCUGCAGAACGUAGGUUUCAGAACAGAGAAAAACAAAGAAAAGCAAAUGAAGCCAAUCGAUUUUAAGAGACCAGUUUUCUUAAGAGGGAGGUAUGCACGCGCAAGAUAGCAAGCUGGUGAAUCAGGCAAACAGAUAACAUCAUAUAUCUGGGACGGAGAGACGUUAGCGGUCCCUGAACGCCAUACCUAGUGCAAGAGAGAAAACUACCUGCAACUGGGAAGUCGGAGACGUCAUCUUGGACCGCUGUUUCCAGCGCAAAUCAACCAUCAAAAAGGGUUUGUUUUUUAAGAAGUAAGCACCAUGUCAACUGGUUCAGAAAUUGGAAGACGUGGUGGAGGCACAGCUGACAUACCUUAAAUCGACAUGCAUGAAGUCUUUUGCUAACGAUCAGAAGCAUAUGAUAUAAGCGAUGGGCGGCGGCCUGCGUCACUAAAGCAUCAACCAGGUGACUUCUAGUUAGAGAUGGAAAUAACAAAUCCAAUUAGGUCUUUGACAUAUAUGCAGAUGAACAACUUUGAUUUAAGGCUUCACAAUCGAUUAAUACCCCUCAUGUGAACACCGGCCAAUUAAUUGGACCAAAAAAUAAGUUGCUUGCUUCAAUUGGAGCAUAUAUUCAGCAACAUGCAAAGACUACACAUUCAGCUGACCAUAUACUCCGGGAGGAAGGUGAAGAGGCGGUGGGGAAAUCUAAGGCAGUUGCUUCUCAAGAAGAAAGAAAGAGGAGGAAAAGAAAGACUACCAAAAAAUACACAAGAAAAGAAAGUGACUCACCUUAAGAAAGGUUAAUUGAGGCGGCAAACAACUUUGGGAGAAACGCCGGCAGAAAAGCAAUUACGUAAACCGACCUUUGAAGUCCAUUGCGUCAGCCAGAUGCAAGGAUGACCGGAAACAAGCAGGCAGAUUGGUGAUGCAGGCAGCCAAGCAGCUAAUGGAAGGAUGGUGCAGAACAUAGCGUAAGAUAAAAUUGGC
Molecule: long non-coding RNA, 3374 nt
Filed under: Lactuca sativa (garden lettuce)
Lineage: Eukaryota; Viridiplantae; Streptophyta; Magnoliopsida; Asterales; Asteraceae
Description: long non-coding RNA (LSAT_LNC006383)
Source: RNAcentral